Molecule: ribosomal RNA, 253 nt
Filed under: uncultured bacterium
Lineage: Bacteria
Description: partial 16S ribosomal RNA
Rfam family: Bacterial small subunit ribosomal RNA
Source: RNAcentral
UACGGAGGGGGCUAGCGUUGUUCGGAAUUACUGGGCGUAAAGCGCACGUAGGCGGCUUUGUAAGUUAGAGGUGAAAGCCCGGGGCUCAACUCCGGAAUUGCCUUUAAGACUGCAUCGCUAGAAUUGUGGAGAGGUAAGUGGAAUUCCGAGUGUAGAGGUGAAAUGCGUAGAUAUCGGGAGGAACACCAGUGGCGAAGGCGGCUCUCUGGACCACUACUGACGCUGAGGCGCGAAAGCUAGGGGAGCAAACAGG